RNAcentral lists this transfer RNA (73 nucleotides) under Marmota monax (woodchuck). It matches the Rfam family "tRNA". From Rfam's summary of the family: Transfer RNA (tRNA) molecules are approximately 80 nucleotides in length. Their secondary structure includes four short double-helical elements and three loops (D, anti-codon, and T loops). Lineage: Eukaryota; Metazoa; Chordata; Mammalia; Rodentia; Sciuridae. The record is from Rfam by way of RNAcentral.
GGGGAUAAAGCUCAGUUGGUAGAGUGCAUGCCUUAUAUGCACAAAGCCCUGGGUUCGAUCCCCAGGACCCCCC